Molecule: ribosomal RNA, 449 nt
Filed under: uncultured bacterium
Lineage: Bacteria
Description: partial 16S ribosomal RNA
Rfam family: Bacterial small subunit ribosomal RNA
Source: RNAcentral
AACGAACGCUGGUGGCAUGCCUAACACAUGCAAGUCGAACGAGAUCUUCGGGUCUAGUGGCGCACGGGUGCGUAACGCGUGGGAAUCUGCCCUUUGGUUCGGAAUAACAGUUGGAAACGACUGCUAAUACCGGAUGAUGACGAAAGUCCAAAGAUUUAUCGCCAGAGGAUGAGCCCGCGUAGGAUUAGCUAGUUGGUGUGAUAAAGGCGCACCAAGGCGACGAUCCUUAGCUGGUCUGAGGGGAUGAUCAGCCACACUGGGACUGAGACACGGCCCAGACUCCUACGGGAGGCAGCAGUGGGGAAUAUUGGACAAUGGGCGAAAGCCUGAUCCAGCAAUGCCGCGUGAGUGAUGAAGGCCUUAGGGUUGUAAAGCUCUUUUACCCGGGAUGAUAAUGACAGUACCGGGAGAAUAAGCUCCGGCUAACUCCGUGCCAGCCGCCGCCGUAA